This 276-nucleotide long non-coding RNA is filed under the name Lathyrus oleraceus (garden pea). Its description in RNAcentral is "Pisum sativum (pea) long non-coding RNA (PSAT_LNC024958)". Lineage: Eukaryota; Viridiplantae; Streptophyta; Magnoliopsida; Fabales; Fabaceae. The record is from RNAcentral.
UGUUGUCCAGAUUGAUUACCAGCAGGAAUUGUUACUGCAGCAUACGGGUGGUAACGAUCCCUACCGUGUCCCCUUUGGACAUACACAUCACUCGAUGCACCCUCCUUCUCGCGCUGACCGUUACCAAAGGGCUUCUUGACUCCAGACGACGGAGCAUUUCCCUGUAUUUUCCCUAUUCUCAGCCAGCUUUCAAUCCUCUCCAACCUCUCGGCGAUUGCUUUCUGCCCCAAGGCGAACCCUUGCAUGACGUUGAUCAAUUCACUCAUAUUCUCUUUC